ACGGGUAGAGACCCGUCAAAGGUAAAAGUCACUUUUGACGGAGUUCAACUGAAAUCCGUCACUGAAGACCUCCACCUAUGACGGUUAAAUAUAUUAACUCUUUGAUGGUGAUCCUUAUCUGUGAGUGGUCUCAAUUCCGUCACGGACCUAAAAAAUGUGGCAAAAAUAAUUAUAGACAUAGCUAGUCAUAGACUUUCAUUAGGCAUUCACAAAUCACAAAAGUAAUCACAUUCACAAUCAUUUGGACACAAAACAGAAUCACAAGAAACAUCACAAUCACGUUCAUUUGGUCAAACAACAAAAUUACUUCACAUUUACAAUCAUUUGGGCACAAAACAAAAUCAAAAAAAAUCAUCACCACUGGCAGAUCUGGUGGUUGGGGCCUGGAUCUGCCUAGAAGCUCCAGAUCCGGCCGGCGCCUGCAAGCUUGGGCCGAUGGAGGUGUAGACGGAGGCGGCAGAGCCCGCAGCCGAAGGCGGAGUUGGCGGAGCCCGCGGGUGGUGGCGUAGGCGGCGACCGGAGCAUGAGCCGGCGGAUGUGGAGGGCGCCGCCAUCAGGCCACCAUUGCCUCCCCUCCCGCUGUUGGCUGCCACCGCACCAUGGCUCUAGAUCCGUCCAGUUCCACCGUGCCUCCCCUCCCGCCCCUGCCGGAUCUAGCGGAGGGGAGGGCGCCGUCGCCCAUGCCGGACCGGCGUGCCACCCCUCCCGCCCUUGCCUGGCCGCCACUCAUGCACAGAGAGAGAGGGAGAGAUAGAGAAAUGGGGAAUGGGGCAGAGAACCGAG
This 783-nucleotide long non-coding RNA is filed under the name Oryza brachyantha (malo sina). Its description in RNAcentral is "long non-coding RNA (OBRA_LNC002570)". The record is from RNAcentral. Lineage: Eukaryota; Viridiplantae; Streptophyta; Magnoliopsida; Poales; Poaceae.